UGGGGAAUAUUACACAAUGGAGGGAACUCUGAUGCAGCGACGCCGCGUGAACGAAGAAGGCUUUCGAGUCGUAAAGUUCUUUUAUAUGGGUAGAUAAUGACGGUACCAUAAGAAGAAGCCCCGGCUAACUACGUGCCAGCAGCCGCGGUAAUACGUAGGGGGCUAGCGUUGUCCGGAAUCACUGGGCGUAAAGGGUUCGCAGGCGGAAAUGCAAGUCAGGUGUAAAAGGCAGUAGCUUAACUACUGUAAGCAUUUGAAACUGCAUAUCUUGAGAAGAGUAGAGGUAAGUGGAAUUUUUAGUGUAGCGGUGAAAUGCGUAGAUAUUAAAAAGAAUACCGGUGGCGAAGGCGACUUACUGGGCUCAUUCUGACGCUGAGGAACGAAAGCGUGGGUAGCAAACAGG
This 403-nucleotide ribosomal RNA is filed under the name bacterium. RNAcentral describes it as "partial 16S ribosomal RNA". It matches the Rfam family "Bacterial small subunit ribosomal RNA", at positions 355 to 776 of the family's 1533-position model. The record is from RNAcentral.